This 74-nucleotide transfer RNA is filed under the name Mus musculus (house mouse). Its description in RNAcentral is "tRNA-Ala". The record is from RNAcentral. Lineage: Eukaryota; Metazoa; Chordata; Mammalia; Rodentia; Muridae.
GAGAGUGUAGCUCAGUGGUAGAGCACUUGCCUAGCAGAUGCAAUGCGUUAGGGUUCAAUCCCCAGUCAUACACA